RNAcentral lists this long non-coding RNA (220 nucleotides) under Elaeis guineensis (African oil palm). Its description in RNAcentral is "long non-coding RNA (EGUI_LNC028845)". Lineage: Eukaryota; Viridiplantae; Streptophyta; Magnoliopsida; Arecales; Arecaceae. The record is from RNAcentral.
GAGUGGAGUAUUAAAAGAUAAAUAAAGAAGUAAUGAAUAAAGAAAAAGAAAGAAUGAGAGAUGGAGGGAGAGGUCAAAGUGGCAUGAAAGAGAGAGCGAGUGAGAUAUAUGAGUCAUUAAAGAAAGAGAAUAUAGGUGAUAAUUACUCUUUUUAUCUUUUGAUGUAGUCUUUUUAGGAUAUAAAAAAAUAAAUUAAUAUGAGGUUUAAAUAUAAGAGACG